CCUACGGGAGGCAGCAGUGAGGAAUAUUGGUCAAUGGUCGGGAGACUGAACCAGCCAAGCCGCGUGAGGGAGGAAGGUACAGAGUAUCGUAAACCUCUUUUGUCAGGGAACAAAGGCGGGGACGUGUCCCCGGAUGAGCGUACCUGAAGAAAAAGCAUCGGCUAACUCCGUGCCAGCAGCCGCGGUAAUACGGAGGAUGCGAGGGUUAUCCGGAUGUACUGGGGUUAAAGGGUGGGCAGGCGGGUCGGUAAGUCAGCGGUCAAAGGCCCGGGCUCAACCCCGGCCCCGCAGUUGAAACUGGCAGUCUCGAGUGGGAGAGAGGUAUGCGGAAUGCGCGGUGUAGCGGUGAAAUGCGUAGAUAUCGCGAAGAACUCCGAUUGCGAAGGCAGCAUGCCGGCUCCACACUGACGCUGAGGCACGAAAGCGUGGGUAUCGAACAGGAUUAGAUACCCCGGUAGUC
RNAcentral lists this ribosomal RNA (460 nucleotides) under uncultured bacterium. Its description in RNAcentral is "partial 16S ribosomal RNA". It matches the Rfam family "Bacterial small subunit ribosomal RNA", at positions 338 to 795 of the family's 1533-position model. The record is from RNAcentral.